This 252-nucleotide ribosomal RNA is filed under the name uncultured bacterium. RNAcentral's name for it is "partial 16S ribosomal RNA". It matches the Rfam family "Bacterial small subunit ribosomal RNA", at positions 524 to 775 of the family's 1533-position model. The record is from RNAcentral.
UACGGAGGGGGCUAGCGUUGUUCGGAAUUACUGGGCGUAAAGCGCACGUAGGCGGCUUUGCAAGUCAGAGGUGAAAGCCCGGGGCUCAACCCCGGAAUUGCCUUUGAGACUGCAUCGCUAGAAUUGUGGAGAGGUAAGUGGAAUUCCGAGUGUAGAGGUGAAAUUCGUAGAUAUUCGGAAGAACACCAGUGGCGAAGGCGACUUACUGGACACAUAUUGACGCUGAGGUGCGAAAGCGUGGGGAGCAACAGG